This 3301-nucleotide long non-coding RNA is filed under the name Triticum aestivum (bread wheat). Its description in RNAcentral is "long non-coding RNA (TAES_LNC025740)". The stretch from base 2210 to 2324 matches the Rfam family "MIR1120/MIR1122 microRNA precursor family". The record is from RNAcentral. Lineage: Eukaryota; Viridiplantae; Streptophyta; Magnoliopsida; Poales; Poaceae.
UCCCCUUUCCUCUGCCAGCCAGUCUUUUGCUUUAGGUCCCAAAUUUGCAAAAACACCAGUCUCCACAGCAUUUCACCAGCUGCAUAAUAAUUCCCCAUUGAGCAUCGAGCAUAAUGAGCCUCCCCCAGUUUUCUGCUUUCCACCCAUCAUUACCCAUCCCGUCCCAUCCCUUGCCGUUGAGAACAUAUGAUAUUGCCGACCCCAUUCAAUUCUUACACCUUUCAGGCUCUUUGGCUCCCUGUAUUUUGAUACAUUUUGCUUUACAUCUUAGGCCGUAAACCAGCAGCGCCCGUGGAGGGCAAUGUUUGUAAUGUUGUUUAGUUUAGAAUAUCAUAGAGGGAGAGGGGAGGGGGUUACUGGUUGCGGUUUUCGUUACGUGUAUAUACCCUAUAGCAAAACAUGAGAAUCCAUUUAGUGGAGGUGGUGAGGAGGAGGGGGAGGAGGGUACAGACAGGGCUAGUUGUUGUGUUACUGUCAUUUUAGCGAUAAAAAGGAAAAUCAAUUGGUAAUUGGUGUAGAGAGGGGAAAGAUUGGUGGUGUUAAUUGGAUGCCAUUUUGCUGCUUCUGCUGGUCUGUGGUGCCGAUACAUUUUCAUCAUCAUGAAUAAAACAAUCCAACAUUCUUUCUUUCUUUCUUUGUAUUUUACUCUGCUGUUGGUUAUUUCUUUCUGUAAUGAGCUGGAGUAUUAUGGUAUGUUGUCAAGAAUCACUAAUCCUAGCUUGCUCUGGCAUUCUUCUACUAUUUGUCAGCAUUAGCACAAUAGGUUUGUUCUGCCAGCUGGCAUGGCAUGGCCUGUGAGAGUCCUUGGGAGUAGAGAUGAUGGCAACAUCAGCACUGGUCCUCUGGUUUGGCUGUGUGUGUGUGGUGGCUGGUAGGUGUGGGUAACAAGGGUAGUAGUAACACAGCGCAUCGCCCAAUGUAUGUGCUUAGGGGUGUGAAAAAGAAGAGACUUUUUCCUCACUUGUUCUCUCUCUGGGGUGGGUCUACAGUAGGUGUUAAAGCCAUGAUGACCACAGAACUGUCAGUCCUCUCUGUCUCUCUCUAGCUCCAUGGUGAUGAUCAGAUCUGGGAGCCCCAGCUGGUAAUGAUUUGGGCCCCAGGGCCAGGGCCAAGCAAGUCCCUCCUAGCCUGGCACGCAGAGCUGGCCCCUUUUGAAUGGGGUAGCUACCUCAUUCAUUGCUUUGCAAUCUACUACUCCCUCCAUUCCUAAAUAGUUGUCUUUUUAGAGGUUUCAACUGGUGACUACAUACGAAGCAAAAUGAGUGAAUCUACACUCUAAAAUAUGUCUAUAUACAUUCGUAUGUGGUGAUCAUUUGAAAUCUUUAGAAAGACAAAUAUUUAGGAACGGAGGGAGUAGUACUGUCCUCUCUCUCCAUCUCCCUAGCCUACACGCCCAAUAGAUAUUUACAGUCUCUGAUAGCGAGUAUAAUAGUGGGGUUUUUUUUUUCGAGGGUACGCCAAAGGCGUACCUUAGCUUUAUAGAAGGGAGAAAAAUAUGUACAAGAAGUAUAAUAGUGGGUUUAUAGCGGACUGGGAGCUUGUGGCUCUCAGGUCUACUCCCUUCAUCCGGUAUUACUUUGCAAAAAUGGAUGUAUCCGUAUUUUAGUACUAGAUAUAUCCAUUUUCGAGACAAGUAAUUCUGAACCGAGGGAGUAGUAGAUAGCGGACCGGGAGCUUGCGAGACAAUAGAUAUUUACACCCGAUUUUUUCUAAAAAAAUAGUAAUUUGUAAGAAAGUCCAAAAAAACUGAAACCUUUUGGGAACAAAGUAGAUUUAUUGUUGCACUCCUAUAAAUCUUUUGUGAAGAAAUGAUUCAUGUUGUUGUUGUGGACGUAAUAAAACAAAUUUGUCUGUAUAUACAUGGUACUGUUCAUGCUAUAUUCUAUGACAAUUUGCCGUUUUUGUCAGAAUUUUGUCGGACAAUAUUUCGUUACAGAAUAUUUUUGUAUGACAGAGACGACAGAUUUUUGUAUGAUAGAAACGACAACUCAAGUUUGUUGGGAAAAAGUUUUAGAAUGUUUUGACUUUUUCUGAGUUAAAAUAAAAUAAAAAUCAGUUAUCAGUUGUAAUUACCACCAUGUUUCAAAAGGUAUUUUCCGUUUAUAGUCUGCUUAUGUGGCACUUUUGCCCGUGUGAAUGAGAGACGUGGAAAGGUAAGGAAGUGUGCUCUGAUGUAAGGGCAACUCCAACGUUGAUCACCAUAUUUUAGGCACUACUUCCUCCGUUUCAAAUUACUUGUCGCAGAAAUGGAUGUAUCUAAAACUAAAAUACAUUUAGAUAUAUCCAUACUUGCGACAAGUAAUUCGGAAUAGAGGGAGUAGAUGUCUACAAUCAAGGCAAAAAGGGGGCGAAGUAGAGGUUGGUGUUUGCCGCCGACGAGGCCAUGGCUUCCUAUGGCCUCUGAGCGCUUUUUUUUAAACGAGGCAAAAGACUUGUCAUUUUCAUUGGUUAAGAAGAAAAGAAUUGCUUGGUUAAUUAAUGGAAAACCGGGCUAAAAUCGAUACAAACCAACCCACAUAACAUGGGUACCACCGGCCAACCUGGCCACCAACAUGGGAUCAAACAGCAACAAGCAACUGCACAAAAACCAUGACGGCACAUGCCAACAGAAGGUAACACACGCGAACAACCGAUAGCUCCGACUUUGAUGACGAUCAUCACAAAGGAAAUAUGCAGGACACGCAUCGAUCGUGCUCUCCGUAAUCGACCACCGAGCGCCUGUCAUCGUCACCACAUGGACACAGUCCACCGCAGCUUUGACUUCAAAGCAACUAAGCAACCUACGGAAGAGCACCUCGGACACGCCGGGAAGAUCCACCGAAGCCUGAGCCUCGACCAAAGCUCCUCGCGACGCCAUCAUCGUUGCCAAACACAAAUCAGCGCCCUCGAAAUGGCCGCCUCAGCAAACUACGCGGCGAAGAUGCCGCCAUCCACUGGUCCCCAGGUUGUGUCCGGCUCCGAGACGAUGCCCCCAAGGAGGAAGAAGACGUGAUAUAAGGCAUGAAUGUUUAUUUUGUGUUACCAUGGCACUCCAUGCAUGUGUCCAAGCCCUGAGACCAAUAUGUUUGAAAAUUCCUUCCAAUUUACUGCGCAUGUAAUUACAUCGCACACAAAAUGUACACAUAUAUGAUUUUUCAAACUGUUAUGGUUAGCUGUUGCAUGCACAUGUAGUUCAAAUUUGAAUUACGGUCAUUAAAUGGCUAGAAAAUCACUUAAAUGUCUUAAAAAGGUCAAAUGACUCUUGAAAAUUUUCAAAUUUUGACAUGACAGUUGUAUUAGUGCACGUCAACAGUAAAAAAAA